Molecule: transfer RNA, 76 nt
Filed under: Rhizoctonia solani
Lineage: Eukaryota; Fungi; Basidiomycota; Agaricomycetes; Cantharellales; Ceratobasidiaceae
Description: tRNA-Arg
Rfam family: tRNA
About the family: Transfer RNA (tRNA) molecules are approximately 80 nucleotides in length. Their secondary structure includes four short double-helical elements and three loops (D, anti-codon, and T loops).
Source: RNAcentral
GCCCGCCUGGCGCAAUGGUGGCGCGCCAGACUUCUACGAAAUCUGGAGGCUGCGGGUUCGAGCCCCGCGGUGGGUU